Molecule: transfer-messenger RNA, 401 nt
Filed under: Bacteroidales
Lineage: Bacteria; Pseudomonadati; Bacteroidota; Bacteroidia
Also listed under: 1 other name
Description: DMER64 sp012839605 Standard tmRNA
Rfam family: transfer-messenger RNA
About the family: Bacterial tmRNA, also known as 10Sa RNA or SsrA, is named for its dual tRNA and mRNA-like properties.
Source: RNAcentral
GGGGAUGUUUUGGUUUUGACAGCAGACGACAUUGGAAAGUAAGCACGUGGAGCGCUGUGUUCCGGCUCCUUAAUCCCGGGGCUCAAGCCUUAAUCGGCAACAACAAUUACGCACUCGCUGCCUGAUAGUCAAAAUGACUGUCGCUUAAUCUUCCCGGACAAGGUCCGGAAAGACGAGUAUCCCACCGGUUUUUUUAGCGUUUUGGAUUCCGGUAUAAGGGGUAUCAUCUACAAAAAGCUGGUUGUGAAAAAUCUCCGGUUUCACAAUAAGAUUUUAGGAGAUAAGAAGCACGUGGCGCUCCUGUACGCAGCUUGCUUCCGACAAUCAACUACAGGAUAAACGUGUAGAAAGCUUUUGGAUGCGCUGUUUGGACGGCGGUUCGAAUCCGCCCAUCUCCACAU